CCAAUAGUAUCUUUUUAGCCAACUCUAGUUCAUUUUAUUUUUUUGCCGAAGCUGGGCAUAAAGUGAAAUUUGUCUAGAUUAAGGAGUAGUCUUUGGGCACGCGAGGCGUUUUCUAAGUCCUAUAAGAUUCACGAAACAUAAUUCAUUUCCAUCCUCUAAAUUACUCAAUGCUCAUGCUUAAAAGAAGUCCUAAGACACACAUGACGUUAAACAUGUGGCUCUAACCGCGGACAAGGUCGUAAUCAAGAGAGAGAGCGCGCGCGCGCGCGCGAGUCCACGGUACACAACGUGUCAAAAGAUUUCCUCGAAAACAAGAAAAAAAAAUCGAAACAAACAAGAAACCGUGUUUUAUUAAAAUUAGUACAACCGGUGUUGAUCGUCCGGCC
Molecule: long non-coding RNA, 386 nt
Filed under: Brachypodium distachyon (stiff brome)
Lineage: Eukaryota; Viridiplantae; Streptophyta; Magnoliopsida; Poales; Poaceae
Description: long non-coding RNA (BDIS_LNC005349)
Source: RNAcentral